GCACUGCUGAAGAGUCCCUAAGUAGGAUGAAACGGCCGUCCAGUGC
RNAcentral lists this non-coding RNA (46 nucleotides) under Schistosoma mattheei. Lineage: Eukaryota; Metazoa; Platyhelminthes; Trematoda; Strigeidida; Schistosomatidae. The record is from RNAcentral.